Clohesyomyces aquaticus is the source of this 97-nucleotide small nucleolar RNA. It matches the Rfam family "Small nucleolar RNA Z13/snr52". Rfam says of the family: Z13 or snr52 is a member of the C/D class of snoRNA which contain the C (UGAUGA) and D (CUGA) box motifs. Most of the members of the box C/D family function in directing site-specific 2'-O-methylation of substrate RNAs. The record is from Rfam. NCBI's taxonomy places the organism in Eukaryota, Fungi, Ascomycota, Dothideomycetes, Pleosporales, Lindgomycetaceae.
UCCCUUCCAAUGACGAAACAUUCCGGAUGUUAACUCAUAACCACCGAGAGCGCAAAACCGUGUGGAGAUUUCCGUUGCCUUCCUUCUGAGCAUUGAC